AAAAGAGGGGGACCYUUCGGGCCUCUCGCGUCAGGKUAUGCCUAGGUGGGAUUAGCUAGUUGGUGAGGUAAGGGCUCACCAAGGCGACGAUCCCUAGCUGGUYUGAGAGGAUGAUCAGCCACACUGGAAACUGAGACACGGUCCAGACUCCUACGGGAGGCAGCAGUGGGGAAUAUUGCACAAUGGGCGCAAGCCUGAUGCAGCCAUGCCGCGUGUGUGAAGAAGGCCUUCGGGUUGUAAAGCACUUUCAGUCGUGAGGAAGGUAGUGUAGUUAAUAGCUGCAUUAUUUGACGUUAGCGACAGAAGAAGCACCGGCUAACUCCGUGCCAGCAGCCGCGGUAAUACGGAGGGUGCGAGCGUUAAUCGGAAUUACUGGGCGUAAAGCGCAUGCAGGUGGUUUGUUAAGUCAGAUGUGAAAGCCCGGGGCUCAACCUCGGAAUAGCAUUUGAAACUGGCAGACUAGAGUACUGUAGAGGGGGGUAGAAUUUCAGGUGUAGCGGUGAAAUGCGUAGAGAUCUGAAGGAAUACCGGUGGCGAAGGCGGCCCCCUGGACAGAUACUGACACUCAGAUGCGAAAGCGUGGGGAGCAAACAGGAUUAGAUACCCUGGUAGUCCACGCCGUAAACGAUGUYUACUUGGAGGUUGUGGCCUUGAGCCGUGGCUUUCGGAGCUAACGCGUUAAGUAGACCGCCUGGGGAGUACGGUCGCAAGAUUAAAACUCAAAUGAAUUGACGGGGGCCCGCACAAGCGGUGGAGCAUGUGGUUUAAUUCGA
RNAcentral lists this ribosomal RNA (773 nucleotides) under Vibrio sp. RNAcentral's name for it is "bacterial SSU rRNA". It matches the Rfam family "Bacterial small subunit ribosomal RNA", at positions 202 to 954 of the family's 1533-position model. Lineage: Bacteria; Pseudomonadati; Pseudomonadota; Gammaproteobacteria; Vibrionales; Vibrionaceae. The record is from RNAcentral.